CUUCAACCUAUAUAAUGAAACAUAAAUACGAUGUUUAAUUUAUUGCAAAUUUCAUGACUUCUAACAUUAAGUCCAAUAUAAGUAGUAUAACCUUUUUAGUUUAAGUGUGUUUGACCAACAAAAGAAGAAAGAUCAAAUUUUCAAUUAGGGUUUAACUAAUUCCUAGCUUCCUAAAUUAACUUCUUUUUUCUCCACGUUUAAUUCCUAAACUAUGUACUUCUGAUGCAUCUUUGAUUAUAUAAUUAUUAUAAGAACAGAUUGUAGUACAUAGAGAUUAGAGAGCUUACAGUUUCAGUUCCUGAAUCUUCU
Arabidopsis thaliana (thale cress) is the source of this 309-nucleotide long non-coding RNA. RefSeq annotates it as other RNA. NCBI's taxonomy places the organism in Eukaryota, Viridiplantae, Streptophyta, Magnoliopsida, Brassicales, Brassicaceae. The record is from RefSeq. The transcript has a single exon.